CCUACGGGUGGCAGCAGUGAGGAAUAUUGGUCAAUGGGCGAGAGCCUGAACCAGCCAAGUCGCGUGAAGGAUGACGGCCCUACGGGUUGUAAACUUCUUUUGUCAGGGAGUAAUUUAGUCCACGUGUGGUCUUAGCGAGAUUACUUGAAGAAAAAGCAUGGCCUACCCCCGUGCAAGCACCCGCGGUAUUACGGGGGAUGCGAGCGUUAUCGGGUUUUAUUGGGUUAAAAGGGGGCGUAGGGGGAAUGUCAAGUCAGCGGUAAAAAUUCGGGGCUCAACCCCGUCGUGCCGUUGAAACUGAUGUUCUUGAGUGGGCGAGAAGUAGGCGGAAUGCGUGGUGUAGCGGUGAAAUGCAUAGAUAUCACGCAGAACUCCGAUUGCGAAGGCAGCAUACCGGCGCCCAACUGACGCUGAAGCACGAAAGCGUGGGUAUCGAACAGGAUUAGAUACCCCAGUAGUC
RNAcentral lists this ribosomal RNA (460 nucleotides) under uncultured bacterium. Its description in RNAcentral is "partial 16S ribosomal RNA". It matches the Rfam family "Bacterial small subunit ribosomal RNA", at positions 338 to 795 of the family's 1533-position model. The record is from RNAcentral.